Molecule: ribosomal RNA, 774 nt
Filed under: uncultured Lactobacillus sp.
Lineage: Bacteria; Bacillati; Bacillota; Bacilli; Lactobacillales; Lactobacillaceae
Description: bacterial SSU rRNA
Rfam family: Bacterial small subunit ribosomal RNA
Source: RNAcentral
CCAUGUGUAGCGGUGAAAUGCGUAGAUAUAUGGAAGAACACCAGUGGCGAAGGCGGCUGUCUGGUCUGUAACUGACGCUGAGACUCGAAAGCAUGGGUAGCGAACAGGAUUAGAUACCCUGGUAGUCCAUGCCGUAAACGAUGAGUGCUAAGUGUUGGAGGGUUUCCGCCCUUCAGUGCUGCAGCUAACGCAUUAAGCACUCCGCCUGGGGAGUACGACCGCAAGGUUGAAACUCAAAGGAAUUGACGGGGGCCCGCACAAGCGGUGGAGCAUGUGGUUUAAUUCGAUGCUACGCGAAGAACCUUACCAGGUCUUGACAUCUUCUGCUAACCUAAGAGAUUAGGCGUUCCCUUCGGGGACGGAAUGACAGGUGGUGCAUGGUUGUCGUCAGUUCGUGUCGUGAGAUGUUGGGUUAAGUCCCGCAACGAGCGCAACCCUUAUUGUCAGUUGCCAGCAUUUAGUUGGGCACUCUGGCGAGACUGCCGGUGACAAACCGGAGGAAGGUGGGGAUGACGUCAAAUCAUCAUGCCCCUUAUGACCUGGGCUACACACGUGCUACAAUGGACGGUACAACGAGUCGCGAAACCGCGAGGUCAAGCUAAUCUCUUAAAGCCGUUCUCAGUUCGGAUUGCAGGCUGCAACUCGCCUGCAUGAAGUUGGAAUCGCUAGUAAUCGUGGAUCAGCAUGCCACGGUGAAUACGUUCCCGGGCCUUGUACACACCGCCCGUCACACCAUGAGAGUUUGUAACACCCAAAGCCGGUGAGGUAACCUUC